CAAUAGCGUAUAUUAAAGUUGUUGCAGUUAAAAAGCUCGUAGUUGGAUUUCUGGUGGGAGCGAUCGGUCUGGCGCUUAGCGCGAGUACUUGCAUCGUCUCCGGCCAUCCUUGGGGAGAGUCUGUCUGGCAUUAGGUUGUCGGGCAGAGGAUCCUCAUCGUUUACUGUGAAAAAAUUAGAGUGUUCAAAGCAGGCUUAUGCCGUUGAAUAUAUUAGCAUGGAAUAAUAAGAUAGGACUUUGAUACUAUUUUGUUGGUUUGCGCACCAAAGUAAUGAUUAAUAGGGACAGUUGGGGGUAUUCGUAUUCCGUUGUCAGAGGUGAAAUUCUUGGAUUUACGGAAGACGAACUACUGCGAAAGCAUUUACCAAGGAUGUUUUCAUUAA
RNAcentral lists this ribosomal RNA (383 nucleotides) under uncultured eukaryote. Its description in RNAcentral is "partial 18S ribosomal RNA". It matches the Rfam family "Eukaryotic small subunit ribosomal RNA", at positions 592 to 976 of the family's 1831-position model. The record is from RNAcentral.